AUUACAACAGCCUUGAUAGGUGCCAGCUGUACGUUGUGUCAGGUUUUCGUGGCCAGGCAAGACGGCAGCGCCACGCCAGUGGAGCUGCGAACAGGAGAGGGAGAGGUUGUGCUGCCUACCGCGAGGGGACGAAAUGAGACGAGGGCUGGCGGCGGAGGAACACACUGACGCUCACCAUGCACCACACACCACCCCGUCGUUGGUGCUGCCUUGCCGGCUGUCCAGAGUUGAGUAUUUUUGGUCUCAUCAGCAAUGCCCGUGGACUUUCGUUGGCUUUUCAUUGACUGGCAGGGUGUGUGGAGGGAGAGACUGAAUGUGAGCUCUUCUUGCAGUGCUUGAUGUGUGGGCAGUCUACGCUGUUAGUGCUGAACACAACAAAUGGCCAUCUUAUCACACUGCAGGAGGAUUGUCUGAUCUCUCCCUCGUAUUAACUAUGUAGCUUCCUCCCUAGAGAGGACCUACACACAAGACAAAAAACUAGGGUGUAUAACAGUAUACGGAUAAGUGAUUAAGAAAAGAUAAUUUAUUGUGUGUACCUCCUCUAUACGAGAGCGCAACAAUCGCAGUGGUUGUAGGGGAUUGAUUCUUCAGGGCGAGGUUUUGUGGCCUUCACGUGCACCGGAUUGUCUCCCUGUGCAUCUCGUGUCUGCUUCCAUCCUCGGAUGUCCAGCAAGUGUCCCCCCCCCUCCUCACGUCAGGGCCGAGGACACUUUUUGCUGGAGGUGUGCCGCCACGUAAACUAUAUAAAAUAUAAAUAAGCA
This is a long non-coding RNA of Scylla paramamosain (green mud crab), 761 nucleotides long. RefSeq lists it as uncharacterized. The transcript is spliced from 3 exons. The record is from RefSeq and is a predicted model, not a curated record. NCBI's taxonomy places the organism in Eukaryota, Metazoa, Arthropoda, Malacostraca, Decapoda, Portunidae.